Long non-coding RNA from Mustela lutreola (European mink), 758 nucleotides. RefSeq lists it as uncharacterized. The transcript has 4 exons. NCBI's taxonomy places the organism in Eukaryota, Metazoa, Chordata, Mammalia, Carnivora, Mustelidae. The record is from RefSeq and is a predicted model, not a curated record.
AUUUUUUAUUUUACUUCAGAGUUUUGAUCAGGAGCUUGAAACAUUCUACAUUUUCUGUUUCUUUUGGCAAUAAAAUUAAAUCUGGAGUGAAAGAACUGAGUAACCUACAGCAUAUCCAUUUGUCAAUGUAACAUCCUGAGGCUAUUCCCGCAUCUCAGUCCUGGUGUUGAGGCAAAGUGAGAUCUUCCUUCUUCUCUAGAGCAACAUUAAUGCAGACUGAUCACAUACGGAAAGCUGAAUGAAAAUGAAAAACUGCAAGAAAUUCUUUUCUCACAUAACGAAGCCUGUGGCAGAGUAGUUCCAGGAUUGGUGAAUUUUCCGCUAGGACUGUCAAAGUCCAAACUCCACUGAGGCAAGAAGGGGGAAAACCCUGUGAGAGAGACACAGCAAGAGAGAGAACACAAACAAAGGGAGUGACAGAGGGACCUGGGAUUCCAAGACCCUGGGAUCAUGACCUGAGCCAAAGGCAGAUACCCAACGACUGAGCCACCCAGGCACCACAUUUCUUUCUUUUUUUUAAGAUUUUAUUGAUUGAUUGAUUGAUUGAAUGAGUAAGUGAAUAAGAGUGCUUGUGAGUGGGCAGAGAGGCAGAGGAAGAGAGAGAAUCCCAGCCAGACUCCCUGCUGAGCGCAGAGCCCAACUUGGAGCUAGAUCCUGACCUCAUAACCUGGGCCAAAAUCAAGAGUCAGUUGCUUAACCAACUGAGCCACCCAGGCACCCCAAUUUUGUUCUUCCUAUAAAUAAUAUCCCAGGCUAUU